Molecule: non-coding RNA, 79 nt
Filed under: Erpetoichthys calabaricus (reedfish)
Lineage: Eukaryota; Metazoa; Chordata; Cladistia; Polypteriformes; Polypteridae
Source: RNAcentral
AAAUACAUAUCGGCCUUACAACACAUAUACGGUUAAGGCAUUGUCACCUACUUCGUGGCAUCUCUAACCAUGUUUUUUU